CCUACGGGAGGCAGCAGUGGGGAAUAUUGCGCAAUGGACGAAAGUCUGACGCAGCGACGCCGCGUGAGGGAUGAAGGUUUUCGGAUCGUAAACCUCUGUCAGGAGGGAAGAAAGCGCAUGGCGCCAAUCAGCCAUGCGUUGACGGUACCUCCAAAGGAAGCGCCGGCUAACUCCGUGCCAGCAGCCGCGGUGAUACGUAGGUGGCGAGCGUUAUCCGGAAUGAUUGGGCGUAAAGGGUGCGCAGGCGGUCCUGCAAGUCUGGAGUGAAACGCAUGAGCUCAACUCAUGCAUGGCUUUGGAAACUG
RNAcentral lists this ribosomal RNA (305 nucleotides) under uncultured bacterium. Its description in RNAcentral is "bacterial SSU rRNA". It matches the Rfam family "Bacterial small subunit ribosomal RNA", at positions 338 to 635 of the family's 1533-position model. The record is from RNAcentral.